GAUACCAGGGUGAAAAGGCCGCAUCCACAGGAGCUUGCUCAUCAGUGGAUGCAAGGACUUGGAACCCGCCCCCCUAUAUGAGCAUAAAAGUGGGAUGUGAAUCCCACGAUAUGCGAAUAGGGGCGAUGAUUGUGGGAGUGCGCAGCACGAAGCAAUCAUCAG
RNAcentral lists this small RNA (162 nucleotides) under human gut metagenome. RNAcentral's name for it is "Clostridiales-1 RNA". It matches the Rfam family "Clostridiales-1 RNA". The record is from RNAcentral.